AAUCCAUGGUGUAGGCAUAUCUAAAUUACUGUUUUAAAACAUUCCCAACCUUCGUGAAAACUUUCUCCUUUUAAUUGUUUAAAACUUGUGAUUUCCCUUCUUAAUU
Gossypium raimondii (Peruvian cotton) is the source of this 106-nucleotide non-coding RNA. NCBI's taxonomy places the organism in Eukaryota, Viridiplantae, Streptophyta, Magnoliopsida, Malvales, Malvaceae. The record is from Rfam.